CUACGGGGGGCAGCAGCUAAGAAUCUUCCGCAAUGGACGAAAGUCUGACGGAGCGACGCCGCGUGAACGAUGAAGGCCGUGAGGUUGUAAAGUUCUUUUCUUGGGGAGGAAUAAUGUUGAGAGGGAAUGCUCGACAGAUGACGUUAACCAAGGAAUAAGCCCCGGCUAAUUACGUGCCAGCAGCCGCGGUAACACGUAAGGGGCAAGCGUUGUUCGGAAUCAUUGGGCGUAAAGGGCACGCAGGCGGCAAUGCAAGUCUGAUGUGAAAGGCCACGGCUUAACCGUGGAAGCGCAUUGGAAACUGUUUUGCUAGAGUGGUUUAGGGGAGACUGGAAUUCCUAGUGUAGGGGUGAAAUCUGUAGAUAUUAGGAAGAACACCGGUGGCGAAGGCGAGUCUCUGGGAACCAACUGACGCUGAGGUGCGAAAGCGUGGGGAGCGAACAGGAUUAGAUACCCCGGUAGUC
This 464-nucleotide ribosomal RNA is filed under the name uncultured bacterium. RNAcentral's name for it is "partial 16S ribosomal RNA". It matches the Rfam family "Bacterial small subunit ribosomal RNA", at positions 339 to 795 of the family's 1533-position model. The record is from RNAcentral.